GACGAACGCUGGCGGCGUGCUUAACACAUGCAAGUCGAACGGAAAGGCCCUGCUUUUGUGGGGUGCUCGAGUGGCGAACGGGUGAGUAACACGUGAGUAACCUGCCCUUGACUUUGGGAUAACUUCAGGAAACUGGGGCUAAUACCGGAUAGGAGCUCCUGCUGCAUGGUGGGGGUUGGAAAGUUUCGGCGGUUGGGGAUGGACUCGCGGCUUAUCAGCUUGUUGGUGGGGUAGUGGCUUACCAAGGCUUUGACGGGUAGCCGGCCUGAGAGGGUGACCGGCCACAUUGGGACUGGGGUACGGCCCAGGCUCCUACGGGAGGCAGCAGUGGGGAAUAUUGCACAAUGGGCGGAAGCCUGAUGCAGCAACGCCGCGUGCGGGAUGACGGCCUUCGGGUUGUAAACCGCUUUCGCCUGUGACGAAGCGUGAGUGACGGUAAUGGGUAAAGAAGCACCGGCUAACUACGUG
RNAcentral lists this ribosomal RNA (468 nucleotides) under uncultured bacterium. RNAcentral describes it as "partial 16S ribosomal RNA". It matches the Rfam family "Bacterial small subunit ribosomal RNA", at positions 28 to 507 of the family's 1533-position model. The record is from RNAcentral.